RNAcentral lists this ribosomal RNA (253 nucleotides) under uncultured bacterium. RNAcentral's name for it is "partial 16S ribosomal RNA". It matches the Rfam family "Bacterial small subunit ribosomal RNA", at positions 524 to 776 of the family's 1533-position model. The record is from RNAcentral.
UACGUAGGGGGCAAGCGUUGUCCGGAAUCAUUGGGCGUAAAGAGCGUGUAGGCGGUCCGGUAAGUCGGUUGUGAAAGUCCAGGGCUCAACCCUGGGAUGCCGACCGAUACUGUCGGACUAGAGUUCGGAAGAGGCGAGUGGAAUUCCCGGUGUAGCGGUGAAAUGCGCAGAUAUCGGGAGGAACACCUAUGGCGAAGGCAGCUCGCUGGGACGUUACUGACGCUGAGACGCGAAAGCGUGGGGAGCGAACAGG